RNAcentral lists this ribosomal RNA (253 nucleotides) under uncultured bacterium. RNAcentral describes it as "partial 16S ribosomal RNA". It matches the Rfam family "Bacterial small subunit ribosomal RNA", at positions 524 to 776 of the family's 1533-position model. The record is from RNAcentral.
UACGUAGGGUCCAAGCGUUGUCCGGAUUUAUUGGGCGUAAAGAGCUCGUAGGCGGCUCAGUAAGUCGGUCGUGAAAUGCCGGGGCUCAACCCCGGGACUGCGUCCGAUACUCCCGAGCUGGAGGCAGGUAGGGGAGAUCGGAAUUCCUGGUGUAGCGGUGAAAUGCGCAGAUAUCAGGAGGAACACCGGUGGCGAAGGCGGAUCUCUGGGCCGUAACUGACGCUGAGGAGCGAAAGCGUGGGGAGCGAACAGG